CCAAAUUUUUGGGAUAAAGGUUUAAUUGAGUUGAGUUGAUUAUUAUUAUAGAAGUUAAAUAUAAUAAUGAAAUUAUAUUUUUAAGUUCUGAUACAAUAUGAAGAAAAUAAAUUGAGUUUAAUUUCACCUCAAAAGUUAGUUAAAAGAAAUAACAUUUACCCAAAUAUUAUAUAUAGCUCAAAUACAGUUAUUCAAAAUUAAUGUGUGACAACAAAUAUAGCAUAAUCCUCUCCAUUAACUUACAAUCGAUAUCUAUAGUAAAAAGUUUAGUAUAAAGCACUAACAUUAUUAAAAAGUUUAGUAUAAAGCACUAACAUUAUAUAACAUCAAAGUAAAUAAAUAGGCAAUAUGAAAAUAACGUACAUGUUGUUGUAGAGUACUCGUUGCUAGUGAAAUCAACGCGCAUAACAUAUAUAUAAUUUAUAUAUUAUAUGAAAUGAUGCAUUGGAAUGCAUGUAAAAAUUAAGGAGGUAGAGAUAUAGAGUACCCAAGUAGGAUUGAUGAUUGGAGCAGGGGCUGCAAAAACAGGCUGGUUUCUGAUAAGGGUAGGGAUGGAAGAAGAAGAAACAGGAGAAGGGUUGAGGCUUGCAAAGAUAGAGGGACGUAAUGUGGCUUUCUGGAGAGAAGAUUGAGAAGGAGAGAGGGAGGUGAGACACCAGCCGUUAAUCGAAGACGUCGACAUUGUGCAAGGUACCCUAGAGCUGAGUGGGUUU
Molecule: unclassified non-coding RNA, 713 nt
Filed under: Hevea brasiliensis (rubber tree)
Lineage: Eukaryota; Viridiplantae; Streptophyta; Magnoliopsida; Malpighiales; Euphorbiaceae
Source: RNAcentral